AUUCCAACAAUAAGAGCAAGACCUAGAGCAGGAGCUAAAGGAGAAGUGAGAAAGAGAUGCCGAGAAGAGAGAAAUGAAGAGAUGGCCUUCAAUAUUUCUGAGUAUGACAGAGGAGACAGCAAUAGGACACUGAAAGAAGAGAGAGAGAGAGAGAGAUCAGAAGCAGAGAGGAGGUGUAGAGGGACAAGCAGACUCCCUGCUGAGCAGAGAACCCAAUGAGGGACUGGAUCCCAGGACCCUGGAUCAUGACCUGAGCUGAAGGUAGACAUUUAACCAACUGAGCCACCCACGUGCCUGUUAGCAUUCAUU
This 309-nucleotide long non-coding RNA is filed under the name Mustela putorius furo (domestic ferret). RNAcentral describes it as "lncRNA (ENSMPUG00000024624.1)". The record is from RNAcentral. Lineage: Eukaryota; Metazoa; Chordata; Mammalia; Carnivora; Mustelidae.